UGAGUAGCGCGUAUGCGACCUGCCCGUUGCAGGGGGAUAAUCGGGAGAAAUCCCGUCUAAUACCGCGUAACGCCGCGGGGCUGCAUGGCCCUGCGGCCAAAGGGAGCGAUUCCGGCAACGGAUGGGCAUGCGUGACAUUAGCUAGUUGGCGGGGCAACGGCCCACCAAGGCGACGAUGUCUAGGGGUUCUGAGAGGAAGGUCCCCCACACUGGUACUGAGACACGGACCAGACUCCUACGGGAGGCAGCAG
This 251-nucleotide ribosomal RNA is filed under the name uncultured bacterium. RNAcentral describes it as "partial 16S ribosomal RNA". It matches the Rfam family "Bacterial small subunit ribosomal RNA", at positions 107 to 354 of the family's 1533-position model. The record is from RNAcentral.